Molecule: transfer RNA, 69 nt
Filed under: Citharoides macrolepidotus (large-scale flounder)
Lineage: Eukaryota; Metazoa; Chordata; Actinopteri; Pleuronectiformes; Citharidae
Description: tRNA-Glu
Rfam family: tRNA
About the family: Transfer RNA (tRNA) molecules are approximately 80 nucleotides in length. Their secondary structure includes four short double-helical elements and three loops (D, anti-codon, and T loops).
Source: RNAcentral
GUUUCUGUAGUUGAAUAACAACGGUGGUUUUUCAAGCCAUUAGUUCUGGUUAAAGCCCGGGGAGAAACU